GAUGAAGAACGCAGCGAAAUGCGAUACGUAAUGUGAAUUGCAGAAUUCAGUGAAUCAUCGAAUCUUUGAACGCAUAUUGCGCUCUUUGGUAUUCCGAAGAACAUGCUUGUUUGAGUAUCAGUAAACACCUCAAAGUCUUUUUUUUUUCUUGAAGAAAAGAUCUUGGACUUGAGCAAUCCCAACUCUUCUUUCAGAAGAGGCGGGUUGCUUGAAAUGCAGGUGCAGCUGGACAUUCUCCUGAGCUAAAAGCAUAUUCAUUUAGUCCCGUCAAACGGAUUAUUACUUUUGCUGCAUCUAACAUAAAGGGAGUUUGACCAUUUUGGCUGACUGAUGCAGGAAUUUCACAAGAGUCUUCAAAACGCUCUUGUUAAACUCGAUCUCAAAUCAAGUAAGACUACCCGCUGAACUUAAGCAUAUCAAUAAGCGGAGGA
RNAcentral lists this unclassified non-coding RNA (431 nucleotides) under soil metagenome. RNAcentral describes it as "partial contains 5.8S ribosomal RNA, internal transcribed spacer 2, and large subunit ribosomal RNA". The stretch from base 1 to 120 matches the Rfam family "5.8S ribosomal RNA", at positions 35 to 154 of the family's 154-position model. The record is from RNAcentral.